GUGCCAGCCGCCGCGGUAAUACAGAGGGUGCGAGCGUUAAUCGGAUUUACUGGGCGUAAAGCGUGCGUAGGCGGCUUCUUAAGUCGGAUGUGAAAUCCCUGAGCUUAACUUAGGAAUUGCAUUCGAUACUGGGAAGCUAGAGUAUGGGAGAGGAUGGUAGAAUUCCAGGUGUAGCGGUGAAAUGCGUAGAGAUCUGGAGGAAUACCGAUGGCGAAGGCAGCCAUCUGGCCUAAUACUGACGCUGAGGUACGAAAGCAUGGGGAGCAAACAG
This 271-nucleotide ribosomal RNA is filed under the name uncultured prokaryote. RNAcentral describes it as "partial 16S ribosomal RNA". It matches the Rfam family "Bacterial small subunit ribosomal RNA", at positions 505 to 775 of the family's 1533-position model. The record is from RNAcentral.